GUGAAUCAUCAAAUUUUUGAACGCAAAUUGCACUCUCCUCGGAUACUAUGCCUGUUUCAGUUCCAGCCUAUAAAAAAUCGACAUCGUUGCUGUUUCGCUGUGGCUUUCGUCCGAAAUUGGGUCAUCUUUAAUCUUUUGUUUUUAAGCGACUUAAAAUUUUCUUUUUGGUUCCAUGAACUUUUCUAAUAUUUAUGUCUUUCCACGUUUAAGAUAUCGAUAUUUUUUAGUCGUAACA
Molecule: unclassified non-coding RNA, 235 nt
Filed under: Glomeraceae sp.
Lineage: Eukaryota; Fungi; Glomeromycota; Glomeromycetes; Glomerales; Glomeraceae
Description: partial internal transcribed spacer 2
Source: RNAcentral